Megachile rotundata (alfalfa leafcutting bee) is the source of this 4133-nucleotide unclassified non-coding RNA. The record is from RefSeq and is a predicted model, not a curated record. NCBI's taxonomy places the organism in Eukaryota, Metazoa, Arthropoda, Insecta, Hymenoptera, Megachilidae.
UGACUUAUCAUAUGACGGUACAUACCUACGAAUGUUUCUAUGUUCACUAUCAGAUGUCACUGCGUUACAAUUUAACGUUUAAUAAAACAUUAACUGGUCGAUGACACAACAUUACACAUUAGUCAUUGUUACUUCUGUACUAUUAGAGGGAAGUUGUAUCAUUUUACACAGGAUUACCAAGAUUAUUACAACAGAUUAAUAGAACUUGUUUUAACAUGUCUAACAGGAUGUACUCAUCUGGCCAAACAUUUGAACCAUUUUUCCUAACAGUCAUCAAAUUUUGUUCACAGCAGAAGCAAUUUUAUUUUCUGAAGUAUGAGGUCGUAUAACACGCAAUAAUGCGUUUGGUGUUCCUAUGCCUGUAUGAUUACCGCAAACCUUUUAAUUACACAUUUUUAUGUUAUUCACAAUGCGAAUAAUACUACUAAGGACGUUUAUAAUGAGAAUAGCAUUAAAAAUAUAUGUAUCUCAAUUACGUGUAUCGAGAAAAGAAUUUUUCCAACAACCGCCUUCUAUUUGAGUCAUAAGAACUUGACGAGUGGGAAUAGUUACUUAAUGACGCACCGAGGCGUUUUAUCUCGGAGUCAUUUCCGUGGGAUGCCACAAUAUCCUUCAAAGUUGUCAGUACCGUGGCGCUUCGCUCGUUACAAACAAAAUUGACAUAAAGAACGAAGCAAUGAUACUUUGUACGGUGCUACUUCUUUCGAAUUUAUUGUACACGUUUGUUUCUUGCGAAUACAAAGAUACGGAAACUCUUUGCGCCUCUCAACAGACAUGCGGAAAGUGCCUACAGACUCCUCGAUGUGUUUGGUGCUCUACCACGGUGUCCGAUCAGAAUGCCACUGGUUCUUUGGUUCGUUGCGUCACCAGAGAAAAAUUUUUAAAGGAAGGUGAUCUUUGGUGUCGGGCUACUGACGUAAUAGAUGAGGCGAGUUCGAUACGCGUACUCGAAAAUCGACCGCUAUCCUCGAAAACUAGGGUCCCUGUUCAAAUUCAACCUCAGAGAAUGAAAUUAACACUCAGACGAGGCGAAGAGUAUCGUUUUACCCUGCGGUAUAGCCAGGCAGAAGAUUAUCCAGUGGAUUUGUAUUAUCUCAUGGAUUUAUCCGCAUCCAUGGAAUCGUACAGAGAUCAAUUAUCAGAACUAGGACUUCGAUUGGCUGAGGCGAUGAGGAAGCUCACCUCAAAUUUUCGUUUAGGAUUCGGUAGUUUUGUCGAUAAGGUUGUACUGCCAAUGACCAGCACACAGCCAGACAAGUUGAAAUCACCGUGCGAGUUGAAAACCAGGAAACCGUGCGCACCGCCGUACGGGUACAAAAAUCAGAUGCCUCUAACCGAGAACGUUGCUCUGUUCAAAAACCGAGUACAAGAGGCGCCAGUGUCCGGCAAUCUUGACUCACCGGAGGGUGGUCUGGACGCGAUGAUGCAGGUCAUGAUUUGUACUAAGGAAAUCGGUUGGCGACAGAACGCUCGACAUCUUAUCGUCUUCUCUACGGAUGCCAGCUUUCACAUAGCCGGGAACGGUAGACUAGCGGGGAUUAUCGAACCCAACGAUUGUCUUUGCCACUUGGACAAGGAUGGAUUUUACUCGUACUCGCUUUAUCAAGACUAUCCAUCCAUCGCACAAAUUAAUAAGGUAGCGCGAGAGCACAAUAUGAACAUUUUCUUCGCGGUUCCGAGCAAGAUGAACGCGACGUAUCAGCUGCUAAGCGAAAGCAUUAAAGGUUCUUCCAUUGGAAUGCUCGAGCAUGAUUCUCAAAACGUAGUCGCAUUGGUCAGCGGGGAAUACGAGAAACUAGUGAACUCUAUAACGAUGACAGAUGAUGCUCCAAAAAUGAUCGAUGUUAAAUAUUUUUCUCGAUGUUUGGAAGAAAACGGCGAGUUGAAGGAACGAAGAGAAUGCGGAGGAUUACGAGUAGGAAACAUCGUUGAAUUCGAAGUGGUGUUGCGGGUAAUUGCGGUCGAAUGUCCAGCGAAUUCCAACGAGUGGCAGCAUAACAUGCAAAUAAAACCGAGAGGCAUAAACGAGAGUCUGACGAUCGACCUGAGCAUUAUAUGUGAUUGUCCGUGCGCUCGGCCAGGACAUCCGGGAUACGCGGUUGCUUCGAACGAUUGCAAAGGAAAUGGCACCCUGAUUUGCGGUUUAUGCUCCUGCAACGAUGGUUUCUACGGGAAGCAGUGCGAAUGCGAAGGAAGCCAAGCCGGUGUCGAGAGCGCAGCUGCAACGGUUGAUUGUAAACCCAACAAUGAGACCAAUGAAAUUUGUAGCGGUCACGGAGACUGCAAGUGUGGCGUGUGCGAUUGCGCGAAGCGUCCAAACCCGCAAGAACUUUUCUACGGGAAAUACUGCGAAUGCGAUAACUUUUCUUGCAAACGGAGCGGUGGACUGGUUUGCGGCGGGAGAGGCAAGUGCGAGUGCGGUUCUUGUAAUUGCUUGCCAGGAUGGGGUGGUGAAACGUGCGACUGCAAAGAGACCAACACUACGUGUAUACCAGAUAACAGCGAAACCAUGGAUAUUUGCAGUGGACGCGGUGAUUGUAUCUGUGGUGCAUGUAUCUGCCACGAGAAGGACAAUAUUCGAUACUCGGGACAAUACUGCGAAGAGUGUCCUACAUGUCCUGGUCAACGGUGCGAAGAACUGAAGAAAUGCGUGGAAUGCAUGGCGUACAAUUCUGGACCUUUUGCUGGAAACGGAGAGUGCGAUCAGUGUUUGCAUCAAAUCGAUAUCGUGGAGAAGAUCACAGAAGAUCCAAUAAAAGAUCAGGAAAAUGGAGCUCACGUUUGUCGAAUGGCCGACGAUGCAGGAUGCACGUUUGCUUUUAAGUAUUCAUAUUAUAGGGGUGGUACUGGAGGAGACAUCAAGAUAUUCAAGAUUCUUGCUGAGAAAGAAAAAACGUGUCCUAAGCAAGUUAACGUUCUUGGUGUUGCUAUUGGUCUAGUGGUCAGUACUGUAAUUAUCGGUUUUGUGAUUCUCAUCGCUUGGAAAGUGCUAACGACGAUUCAUGACGCACGAGAAUAUGCAAAAUUCGAACGAGAACGAGCUCUUGCAAAAUGGGACAUGGGAGGCAAUCCAUUGUACAAACAGGCUACGUCCACUUUCAGCAAUCCAACGUUCAACGACAGCGAAAAGGAUUAACUAAGAAAUUCUAUGUUCAUAAGAAUUUUCGCGCGUUUGAUUUCUAGUCGAUUCAAGGAUGCGCAACCCGAUAGGUAGCGCCACGGAGGGGCAUAGAUGGCUAACAAAAGAAGACGAAAAGGCUUGAACGCGUUUAGUAUCGAUUAUCAAGAGUAUCGUUUGAAUCUUGUGGAAUCUAGUGCGCUCCUGGAGGCAGGAUAACUCGUAUAUACAGCAGGAUAAUUAAUGGAGCCGGCGAGGCUGCGUUUCCGAAGACAAGUCGACGAGAAACAAAUGUUUGCUCUAUCCUGGAGGGUUCGACUUGGAUGGUAAAAGGUGUACCAGGCGGGGCCACAUCCGAAUUACCCAGACAGGGGACGACCGCCUUGCAGAACGAUUCGCAGAACAACGCAGUGAUAUUGUCAGAAUUCCUGCGUUCACGACUAGGAAGUCAAAGUCAAACGUACCGCUCGAGGGCGUAGUCGCUCCCGACAUAAUCGACGGGGAUGGUUUCGAGAUGACUGUGCGAUUCGAUGAUCGAUUCGAUCGACUGUCCAGCCGGAGGAAGGUAUUUCGUGACUAGCGAGAUCAUCGGUCGUGAAUUACACGCUGCUGGUCAACAUGACGUGCAAGCAGCUACGGAGUGCAUCAAGCGAAGACGGAGUGCAACGAGAAGAUGCAUCGACUCGAAGUUGUAUGCGUGUGACAGCGUGAAUGAAAUGUUGUGCGUGUUACUUUUUCUAAUGUAUUGUAUCAUUUUUAUUAAUAUUCAUACGCGACUCGAUGUAAUGUAUCGAACAUGUAGUGCAUAUGUCACGAUGCAAUUAUUUUUAUAAGUUAUAAUAAGCAGAAUUGUAAAACAUUUAGGAUAGUUAAUAUUUUAUGUCGUUAAUAUGUUAUUAUUACAAGCAAUACGUUAGUUGUAACACAGCGUUAAUUGUACAGCGUAUGUUGCGUUUCGUAUAGUACUGUAAUUAGAUCAGUUAAGAUGUUUUGUGUAGAAAAAAGAUAAAAAUAA